GUGCCAGCAGCCGCGGUAAUACAGAGGUCCCAAGCGUUGUUCGGAUUCACUGGGCGUAAAGGGUGCGUAGGCGGUCAGGUAAGUUUGAUGUGAAAUCUCCGAGCUUAACUCGGAAAUGGCAUUGAAUACUAUUUGGCUAGAGAGUCGGAGGGGGGACUGGAAUACUUGGUGUAGCAGUGAAAUGCGUAGAUAUCAAGUGGAACACCAGUGGCGAAGGCGAGUCCCUGGACGAUUUCUGACGCUGAGGCACGAAAGCUAGGGGAGCAAACAGGAUUAGAAACCCUGGUAGUCC
This 292-nucleotide ribosomal RNA is filed under the name uncultured bacterium. RNAcentral describes it as "partial 16S ribosomal RNA". It matches the Rfam family "Bacterial small subunit ribosomal RNA", at positions 505 to 796 of the family's 1533-position model. The record is from RNAcentral.